UGAAGCUUCCGUCGAGUGGCGAGGAAAGACGACAGUCGAGUGAGAUGAUUGAUGAAAGUCGGAGAGAAUGAGAGGUAUGAAAGAAAAAUGAGUUCGAGUGAGAGGUAAGAGAGAGGAAGGAUUUUGUGUGGUUAAGGAGAAAGAGAUAGGGAGAGGAUAAGGGUAUGAAAGAAAAGGAAGGUUGGGUCGAGUGGGGUGAAUCGAGUGAGAUUUUUUUUUNNNNNNNN
Molecule: long non-coding RNA, 227 nt
Filed under: Capsella rubella
Lineage: Eukaryota; Viridiplantae; Streptophyta; Magnoliopsida; Brassicales; Brassicaceae
Description: long non-coding RNA (CRUB_LNC000552)
Source: RNAcentral